GUGUCAGCAGCCGCGGUAAGACAGAGGGUGCGAGCGUUGUUCGGAAUCAUUGGGCGUAAAGGGCGCGUAGGCGGCUUGGCAAGUUGGAUGUGAAAGCCCUGGGCUUAACCCGGGAAGUGCAUCCAAAACUGCUUUGCUUGAGUCCUGGAGAGGGUGGUGGAAUUCCCAGUGUAGAGGUGAAAUUCGUAGAUAUUGGGAGGAACACCCGUGGCGAAGGCGGCCACCUGGACAGAGACUGACGCUGAGGCGCGAAAGCGUGGGGAGCAAACAGGAUUAGAAACCCCUGUAGUCC
RNAcentral lists this ribosomal RNA (292 nucleotides) under uncultured bacterium. RNAcentral's name for it is "partial 16S ribosomal RNA". It matches the Rfam family "Bacterial small subunit ribosomal RNA", at positions 505 to 796 of the family's 1533-position model. The record is from RNAcentral.